UGCGUAGGCGGAAUGAUAAGUCAGUGGUGAAAUCCUGCGGCUCAACCGUAGACAUGCCGUUGAUACUGUUAUUCUUGAAUGUAGUUGAGGUAGGCGGAAUGUGUAAUGUAGCGGUGAAAUGCUUAGAUAUUACACAGAACACCGAUUGCGAAGGCAGCUUGCUAAACUAUGAUCGACGCUGAUGCACGAAAGCGUGGGUAGCGAACA
This 207-nucleotide ribosomal RNA is filed under the name uncultured bacterium. RNAcentral's name for it is "partial 16S ribosomal RNA". It matches the Rfam family "Bacterial small subunit ribosomal RNA", at positions 568 to 774 of the family's 1533-position model. The record is from RNAcentral.